AUGUCUCAGGAAAACAAGUGGGGUUUGGAUGCUCCAGCUGCAGACACUGCCUCAUUUUCCACACGUGAGCCCCCUUUCUCCCCAAAUGCAGAACCCAACAUAGCAGGAGCUGCUCCUGACACAUCCCUCGGGACUACCCCAGCCUCCCUGCUCUUCGUGGACACCAGUAACAACUCAGUGUCUGUGACAAGAGAGGGAGCAGAGGACUUGGAGCCCACUGCCAACACUGCAUCCGCCCCAAACUUCCCUUCUCCAUCAGCUGGAGGGGCACAGCCGACCCCUGGGGCCACUGGGGAACAGGCUGCUGACAGCCCCUUGGGUCUUGGCAUCACCACGCCACCGAGCAGAGGGCUGGAUACGGCCACUGCAGGAGUGAGCGAGAAAGGCGUAACUCUUGCUGUGGAUUUCCAAAGUGGAGCAAGUGCCCCCUCCUUGAGCCCAAACCCCAGGGCUGGGGAGCUGCUUGCAACACGGCAGGACAAGCAGGCGAAUGAGGCCACCAGCGUCAUCUGGGAGCCAGCAGGAGAAACAGUCCCAGCUGCUGAGGAAGGUCCCACUCCUUUAGAGGCUGGCAAUGCAGGAGAUGCAAUAGAUGGUGCUUUUGGUGCAUCUGACUUGUCCCAUCUGCCUCCAGGGAGUGGGACGGUGUUGGGAGCAGCAGGAAACAUGGAGGAAACCUCCCGCCUUGCCGGUGAGACAGAACUGAGCCCAAAUACUUUGCUAGGACCCGAAAGGGAUGAACAGGGAUCUCCAGGAGUGGAUCUGGACAGCCCUAAUUCAGUCCCAUCUCCUGCAGCUAGUGAGGCGCUUGCAGCAUCUGCAGAGCCUGAUGUGCAAAGUACCACCACUUCCCUAGCUGCCUCACUGCUCCCAGCACGCACAGCGCUGCUGCCCGUGGGGACUGUGGCUCCGACUGAGUCAUCCUUGCACCCUGCUCUAUGGGAUGCUGCCACCAGUGGUCUACCAUCCCUUGUGGACAUCCCCACUGGGUCCUCGGCCUCUCUUGCCUCCCCCAGCACUGCUGACUCUCCUCAGCUGGCCCCAGAUGCUGUGGCCAGCACCCUUUCCAGAGCUGACGAUGGAGCAGAGAUGUUGGCGAGCCCCAAGCUUGGUGGUCCCRUGUCCCCAUCCCUUGGGUCGGAGCCACAGGGGAUGGCAGCUGGCACUUCUGAGGGAGCAGGGCUCCCCUCAGCCAAUGGACCAGGCACUGGCUUGAAUCCAGCAUUGGAUGUCCCCAGCCUAGCAUUCCUUGGACCUCCAUUGCCUAUCCCUGGAGGCUGGCUUGGCAUGGGCCCGGGGCUGCCGGCAGCGGAGGGCAGUGAAGCUGGCGCAGAGGAGCAGGUGCUGGAAGGAAGUGGCAGCACAGCCAGGGGUGAGCCCUCCCUGAGCUCCGCUCUGGGCAGUGGGACAGCAGUUGGGACAGAUCAGCUGCCGGACACUGGGUCUCUGUCUGGACCUGCCUCUCCUGAUGAUGUGGUUGCAGCAUCCUCUGUUUUGGAGACUGAUGGAGCAGGACCCAUCCCAGAGKCAGCUCCUGGCCCUGACAGCCCUUCCCAGGCCUCUCUGGACAGCCAGGGUGGCCCAGACCUCGCUGCAGCUCUGGGGGCUGAGAGCACAGGGAACRUGGCAGGGGCAGGAAAUCCAGAGAGCCCAAGCCCUGGUACGGACACCAGUCCUCCAGCCUUCAGCCCACAGCAAGAUCCUGCAAUCCUGGGAGAGCUUUCAGCAGGAGAAGCAGGAGCUUUGACRGAUGCUGAACUGUCCCAUCCAUUGGCUCUUGGGAACGGAGCAGGAGUGGCUACAACCCUGGGAGAAACRUCCCUGCCUGGCCCCGCAGCUCCUGGCASUGCUGGCCUGGAACCUGGCCUUGGGGCAGCUGCAGGAAAAGGGGAUUUGUCCGGUGAAUCCCCCAGCACUGCCGACUCUCCUCAGCUGGCUCCGGGUGCUGUGGCCAGGACCUUUUCUGGGGAUGAUGACAGAGCAGAGAUGCCAUCAGGUCCCAACCUCAGUACUCCCAUGUUCCCAUCCCUUGGAGGGUCAGAGUUGCAGGGGAUGGUGGGCAGCACUUCCGAGGGGGCAGGGCUCCCUGGAGCCAAUGGACCGGACACUGGCUUGAAUUCAGCAUUGGAUGCCCCCAGUCCAGCAUCCUUCAGCCUGGUGGGACCCGUGUUGCCUGUCCCCAGGGGCUGGCCUGGCGCUGACCUGGGGCUGCCGGCAGCAGAGGGGAGCGUAGCUGGCGUGGCAGAGCAGGCACUGGGAGGAGGUGGUAACAGGGAUGGAGGUGAGCCAUCCCUGAGCUCUGCUCUGGGCAGCGGGACAGUGGCUGGGAUGAAUCAGCUGCCUGAUGCUGGGUCCCUGUCCAGUCCUGCCUCUGCCAAUGGCAUGGCUGCAGCAUCUUCAGUUUUGGAGACUGCUAGUGUGAGUAACCUUAGAGGAGUGCCCAGUGCUCCUGGCUUUUCUCAGCCUGCCCCAGCGAGUGUUGAGCCUGGGGUCCCUCCUGCCACAGGAGAAGCAGAUAAACUGGCCAAGGCCAUCCCUGGUGAUGGAGCAUCCCCUGGGGAGUCCCAGGGCCCUGCUGUGGAGGGAACAUCUGGUUCGGGAGCCCCUGAUGGAACAGUAAGAGCUGCGGAGCACUCUGCACCCUCCUCUCUGUCUGUUGAAGGGUCUUCAUCACUUGGGACAGCCGGCAUGGCUACAGCAGGAGCAGGCCUUACCGGCGUUAGUGGAGGAGCCGAUGGUUCGAACACUGGCUCAGCUGCUUCUGGCCCAGGGUCUUCAGACCCCGAGGGCGCUCCCGUGUCUGUCCCUGGCAUCCAGAGUGGUUCAGAUCUUGGAUCUUCUGAUGCAAAACUGAGCCAAGUCAACGUGGUGGAGCUGCCUGGAGGAGAAACAGGAGUCUCAGCUGAUGAUGAAGCUUCCCUUAGUGCCAGUUUAGGAGAUGGGGCAGGAGCUGUCAAACAAAUAGCAUCGGGAGUGCUGGCCCCAUCUGCCUUUGCCUCCCCGCAGCAGAUGCAGACCCUGGUCCCAUCGGCUCUGGACACCGGCGUUGCCACUGCUGGCAUUGCCAGCUUGCUGGGCUCUUCUCUGCUGCUCCCUGGGCAUGGACUUGGUGCAUUGCCUGCCGCCUCGGGAGGCAUGGGGGAAAGCUCAGGGCUGGCACCUAAUGAGAAUCCCCCCUUUCCCUCCAGUAUCCAGAGUGGAAGCAGCUUGGCGGCAGCGGGCACACCGCUGGCUGCAGCAAAGGUGCUCAAUUUGCCACUGCCUGAAGCUGAAACCGUCCUUCCUUGGUCUCCCAAUGACGAGACGGCCUCAGGAAUGCCAGCACCUUCGGGAGAAGAGCCCCCGGCUGUCCCCGCAUCUCCCAACGUGGGCCCGGCUGUGCCUCCUGCUGCCGAGGGGCUGUCUGCUGGCUCCAGAUUUUCCUCUCCAGUUUUGACAAGCGACCUGACGGCRGGACCCUCUGUGCUGGAAAAGGGAGAUCUCAGGGCAGCCUCCUCAAUUCCUGCUGGACCUGCCCUGCUCCUGCCCCCUCCCCAGCCCAAAAGCCCUGGGGUCCCAUCCGUCUCUGUGGCUGCUGAAGGGAGAGGGGAUACAAACAGCCCAGGGGAGCUGAGUCCCGGGCUCCCCAGCAUGGCACCAGGGCCGGGUGCCGCAGCUUGGCUGCCUCCCGGAAUGGCCAUGGAGCCCCCUGCUCAGCCCUCGCUGGAGCAAGGGCCAGCAGGAGGAGGGUCCUCUGGCCUUGCUCCCAUCAGGAUUGCUGCUGGGAGCCCCACAACAAAAAUCCUGGGACCAGGAUCUGCUGGCGGUUCGUCACCUGUGGCCCUGCAGUCCUCYGGGGGCAGCAAGGCGAUUGCUGGCCUCACCAAUGCAGUCGCUGCUGGCUCUGCUGCUGCUGGAUCAAGUGUCCCCGCAGCCUUCCCAGGCCAGGGAGCAGCCCGGGGAGGACCACCAGCAACCGCGUGCCUGGCCGUGUCCUGCAGCCCCGCGGCUGCUGGCCCGGCCUCACCAGCCCUGCUCCGCAGUGGCGCAAAGGUGCUCCCGAGGCCAGGAGCGAACGGGGCAGCUGCUCUCCUCCCCCAGGCAUCAUCCACCGUGCUUCCAGCUCCGCUGGGAGGGCCCGCAGCCCCGCUGUCUGUGACCGCAGGUAAGGGAUGUGUGUGUGGGUGA
Molecule: long non-coding RNA, 4167 nt
Organism: Apteryx haastii (Great spotted kiwi)
Lineage: Eukaryota; Metazoa; Chordata; Aves; Apterygiformes; Apterygidae
Source: Ensembl